Molecule: ribosomal RNA, 506 nt
Filed under: uncultured bacterium
Lineage: Bacteria
Description: partial 16S ribosomal RNA
Rfam family: Bacterial small subunit ribosomal RNA
Source: RNAcentral
AUUGAACGCUGGCGGCAGGCCUAACACAUGCAAGUCGAACGGUAACAGGAAACAGCUUGCUGUUUCGCUGACGAGUGGCGGACGGGUGAGUAAUGUCUGGGAAACUGCCUGAUGGAGGGGGAUAACUACUGGAAACGGUAGCUAAUACCGCAUAACGUCGCAAGACCAAAGAGGGGGACCUUCGGGCCUCUUGCCAUCGGAUGUGCCCAGAUGGGAUUAGCUUGUUGGUGGGGUAACGGCUCACCAAGGCGACGAUUCCUAGCGGGUCUGAGAGGAUGACCAGCCACACUGGAACUGGUACACGGUCCAGACUCCUACGGGAGGCAGCAGUGGGGAAUAUUGCACAAUGGGCGCAAGCCUGAUGCAGCCAUGCCGCGUGUAUGAAGAAGGCCUUCGGGUUGUAAAGUACCUUCAGCGGGGAGGAAGGGAGUAAAGUUAAUACCUUUAUUCAUUGACGUUACCCGCAGAAGAAGCACCGGCUAACUCCGUGCCAGCCGCCGCCGUAA